GACAGAGGUGCCGAGCGUUAGGCGGAAUCACUGGGCUUAAAGCGUGUGUAGGCGGGCGGGCAAGUACCUUGUGAAAUCCCACGGCUCAACCGUGGAACUGCUGGGUAUUCUGCCUGUCUUGAGCCAGCCAGGGGCAGUCGGAACAGACGGUGGAGCGGUGAAAUGCGUAGAUAUCGUCUGGAACGCCAAAGGUGAAAACAGACUGCUGGGGCUGUGCUGACGCUGAGACACGAAAGCCAGGGGAGCGAACGGG
Molecule: ribosomal RNA, 253 nt
Filed under: uncultured bacterium
Lineage: Bacteria
Description: partial 16S ribosomal RNA
Rfam family: Bacterial small subunit ribosomal RNA
Source: RNAcentral